ACACGUUCUACACGGGAACGACGUCCGCCAAUCUCUCCGGUGGUGAUGCUCGCCAUAGAUGUGUUUGGUUACGGUGCGGGCUAGGUUGAGGCGGCCCGAUCUUAUCUUUUUUGGCAUUUGGUUCGCUAGAUAGACUUGAGCGGAGCGGCCCCGUGUGGGAUUUCUUUCUAAAAUUCUGGUCCGAUUCGCCUGUCCGAAAUUGCGGAAUCACGCGGCCCCGGACGUUUCGUCCGGCCCCCGGC
This 242-nucleotide long non-coding RNA is filed under the name Brachypodium distachyon (stiff brome). Its description in RNAcentral is "long non-coding RNA (BDIS_LNC003689)". The record is from RNAcentral. Lineage: Eukaryota; Viridiplantae; Streptophyta; Magnoliopsida; Poales; Poaceae.